GGUAUGGACACUAACUCUUGAACUAAAAAGCAAGAUAUGCACAUUGCGCACCGCCCUUCAGUUCCAGUCCGAAGUCCAACAAUUGCGAAGAUCACACACACACGCAUACAACACUCUCUGCGUCCGCAAUCUCCAUCUUCAUACCUCUCUCUGUUAAUCAGCUCUUGGACUUGAAGCUUCUCUUCUUCACUUUCUCUCCCUCGACCAACUGGUUAAAUAGCCCCCUUCAAUCCACUUCCAAGGUUAAACCCUUCUCUCCACUGUCCCACGCCAAAACCCAAGCUUCAACCAUAAAAUAUAACACUUAUUUUCCCAUCUUUUCUUUUAAAGAACCCAAAAUUUGGAUCCAAAUCCCAAAUACAAAAGUCUCCCCAUUUUUUAUGAAUACGGGUCCUUCAAUAUGGAUCCUCCAUUGAUCAAUGAGUCAUCUUUUUCAGCAGCCAAUCUUUCAUCUUACAGCCUUGCUGAGAUUUGGCCUUUCCCAAUCAACUCACGCUCUGACCCAAAUGUUACAACUGCAGGGAGAUUAGGCGUCCGAAUGGGUACUUUGGGCGGGUUUGGGGAAAGUUCGGGUCACAGAGAUGGGUUUGGGGCGGAUUUGAGCUCUGAAGAUGAGUCUUCCAAGAUGGUUUCUACUACCAGUGCAAAUGAAUUUAAUGAUUCAAAUGGAAAACGGGUGAAAUCAUCGACAAAGAAUGAAAAUGCAAUUUCUAAAGCUGAGGUGGAAACAAGUUCUGCAGCUGGUAGCAAGCCAGAACAGUAUGGUAAACCUACUGAACCGCCUAAGCAAGACUAUAUUCAUGUCAGAGCCAGAAGGGGUCAAGCUACGGAUAGUCAUAGUCUGGCUGAGAGAGCCAGGAGAGAGAAGAUUAGUGAGAGGAUGAAGAUUCUUCAAGAUUUGGUCCCUGGAUGUAAUAAGGUCAUUGGAAAAGCACUCGUCCUUGAUGAGAUAAUUAAUUAUAUCCAGUCACUGCAGCGGCAGGUUGAGUUCCUGUCAAUGAAGCUAGAAGCAGUUAAUUCAAGGAUGAACAUGAGUCCUAGCAUCGAAGGCUUUCAUUCAAAGGAUGGAAGGGGGAUUUGAACCCAACUCUAUGAGCAGAAGGAUAGAUGCACCGAUCAUUGAGCCAGAUGCUCAGCUUGGUUCACAACCAUUUGAUGCUGCUGGAAUGAUAUUUGGUGCACAAGCAGCUAGGGAAUAUGCUCAAGGAUCACAGCCUGAGUGGCUGCAGAUGCAUGUUGGUGGAAAUUUUGAAAGGGCAACAUAAUUUGGAGAAACCUUGUUGGCACUCAAAGCAGCAAGAGUAAUGUGCUUGUCUUUAGAUCAAAGGGGAUUGGUUACAUCUGUUGCAGAAAUGAGUUUGGUAAAUGUGGCCUUGUUCUUAAAUUUGUCUGGUAGUUUCUAUGUCUACGAUAAAUGCAGAAUUUUUAUUUAUAAUUCAAUAACAGCAAAGAGAAGAGGGAGGAAAACUGAGAA
RNA transcript from Theobroma cacao (cacao), 1474 nucleotides. It is a transcript of the gene named transcription factor bHLH79-like, with no coding region annotated. The record is from RefSeq and is a predicted model, not a curated record. NCBI's taxonomy places the organism in Eukaryota, Viridiplantae, Streptophyta, Magnoliopsida, Malvales, Malvaceae.